Molecule: long non-coding RNA, 1497 nt
Organism: Cucurbita maxima (winter squash)
Lineage: Eukaryota; Viridiplantae; Streptophyta; Magnoliopsida; Cucurbitales; Cucurbitaceae
Exons: 5
Source: RefSeq, a predicted model, not a curated record
GGAACGGAUGGCCGAUCCCGCCUUCUGCAAUCUACUUAUCCAAUUGUUAGGUUCUUUCAGCGCGAAGGUCUAAUGGCUUCAACGAGGUUUGCCUGUGCUCAAACCCUAUCGAAAACCUCGAAUUCUCUUCUCCGAUCUUCUCUUUUAGCCCUAAUGGCGUCGAAUUCGCUUCCAACUUCUCGUUUAGGUUACCGUUUUACUCGCAACUGCUCCUCCAGCACCGCUCCAGUUCGCACUUUGGAUUAUGAGUUCACCAAUGGUUCUUCUGAAGUGGAACUGAGAUAACAACUUGGGACACAAGAAAUUGGUAGUUCAAAAGAUGUUUUUGUGGAUGCAAAUCAAGCCUCGUUGAUAAUUAAAGUACAAUGCUUGGGAUCGACUAUUACUUUUCUGGAAACGAAACAACAAUUUGAGAAAAUAAAACCUGCAGAAACUAUAUGGUUUUCCAUUGUUAUGGUACAUAGCCUCCUACAAAUAGUAUGAGUCUUAAUGUCUAAACAUGACAUUUCUAUGAUGAACAGGUAUAUUGAUGAAGAUCAAGUAGUUAUAAAUUCAAAGAAGCAUGAUCCAGACGUGAAAUGGCCCAACAUUUUAGAGUCUUGGUAAUCCCUUAUAGGAGGAUCUACGCAGCUUCCAAAAGGAACAUCGAUGAAUUUGAUAGGGGAUUCAACAGAUAUUAACCAAAAAGUUGGGCAGGAACUCGAAGUUGGGCUAGGGCAAUGUCUAUCGACUGAAUUGUGGCCUUGAAACGUAGCAACUCAAACAAGGCAAACAUUUUAGCGCCAGGUAUACUCCAUCGAGUAGAAAAGAAUUGCGGAAACAUUUUCCAAACUGAUCGUUGAUUCAUGUUUUUAUAAUCCUCCCAAAAUUGAGCUCUACUACCAUCCCCCAUAAAGAAAAGGUAAUGAAAGGGAGGAAACUUGGGAGACCGGGGGGAAAUAACCUUCCAAGGACUUUUGAAGGUGCCCUUAGAUAGUGCCUACAUUUCAAUUAUUGAGAUGAAGCUCACACAUGCACAUAAUUGUCAAAGCAACAAAGCUCGUGGUUAAAAAGGUAUGACCGUGACAUAUGCACACUACACGCACACUACACUAACCUUUCUUUGGCACUGGAUCCAGGUACAAUACCAUGCUGCAAAGCUUGGAGGAUCAAAAUCACUGCAUCCACAUUUGUUGAAGUCUCGUGGAGGGUUUCUUUUGUUGUUAUCCUAACUCGAUUGUGGUACUUGGGAGUCAAAUAAAUUUUGUUGGGUUAUUUGAAUUUGGCUCACACUUGUGAAGGGUUGAACAAUUGAAGUAUAUUUUAGUUGUCUUAAUGCUCUUUGUAUCCAUUUCUCCCAACACCUAAGUAGAUUUGACUUGAGGAUAAUGGGAGUGGGAAACUCAAAUAAGACAAGGAAAGAGAAACAAAGAACCUUGCACCUACAAAUAAUAGUUCACCUUCUUAGUUGUCUACAUUGCAAAUGAUCUUGAAUAAAGGACACUCAUCUCUCUUAAA